RNAcentral lists this ribosomal RNA (1646 nucleotides) under metagenome. RNAcentral describes it as "bacterial LSU rRNA". It matches the Rfam family "Bacterial large subunit ribosomal RNA", at positions 1297 to 2925 of the family's 2925-position model. The record is from RNAcentral.
CUGACAUGAGUAACGACAAUGGGUGUGAAAAACACCCACGCCGAAAGACCAAGGGUUCCUGCGCAACGUUAAUCGACGCAGGGUUAGUCGGUUCCUAAGGCGAGGCUGAAAAGCGUAGUCGAUGGGAAACAGGUUAAUAUUCCUGUACUUCUGGUUACUGCGAUGGAGGGACGGAGAAGGCUAGGCCAGCUUGGCGUUGGUUGUCCAAGUUUAAGGUGGUAGGCUGAAAUCUUAGGUAAAUCCGGGGUUUCAAGGUCGAGAGCUGAUGACGAGUCGUCUUUUAGAUGACGAAGUGGUUGAUGCCAUGCUUCCAAGAAAAGCUUCUAAGCUUCAGGUAACCAGGAACCGUACCCCAAACCGACACAGGUGGUCGGGUAGAGAAUACCAAGGCGCUUGAGAGAACUCGGGUGAAGGAACUAGGCAAAAUGGCACCGUAACUUCGGGAGAAGGUGCGCCGGCUAGGGUGAAGGAUUUACUCCGUAAGCUCUGGCUGGUCGAAGAUACCAGGCCGCUGCGACUGUUUAUUAAAAACACAGCACUCUGCAAACACGAAAGUGGACGUAUAGGGUGUGACGCCUCCCCGGUGCCGGAAGGUUAAUUGAUGGGGUUAGCGCAAGCGAAGCUCUUGAUCGAAGCCCCGGUAAACGGCGGCCGUAACAAUAACGGUCCUAAGGUAGCGAAAUUCCUUGUCGGGUAAGUUCCGACCUGCACGAAUGGCGUAACGAUGGCGGCGCUGUCUCCACCCGAGACUCAGUGAAAUUGAAAUCGCUGUGAAGAUGCAGUGUAUCCGCGGCUAGACGGAAAGACCCCGUGAACCUUUACUGUAGCUUUGCACUGGACUUUGAGCCUGCUUGUGUAGGAUAGGUGGGAGGCUUUGAAGCGUGGACGCCAGUUCGCGUGGAGCCAUCCUUGAAAUACCACCCUGGCAUGCUUGAGGUUCUAACUCUGGUCCGUAAUCCGGAUCGAGGACAGUGUAUGGUGGGCAGUUUGACUGGGGCGGUCUCCUCCUAAAGAGUAACGGAGGAGUACGAAGGUGCGCUCAGACCGGUCGGAAAUCGGUCGCAGAGUAUAAAGGCAAAAGCGCGCUUGACUGCGAGACAGACACGUCGAGCAGGUACGAAAGUAGGUCUUAGUGAUCCGGUGGUUCUGUAUGGAAGGGCCAUCGCUCAACGGAUAAAAGGUACUCCGGGGAUAACAGGCUGAUACCGCCCAAGAGUUCAUAUCGACGGCGGUGUUUGGCACCUCGAUGUCGGCUCAUCACAUCCUGGGGCUGAAGCCGGUCCCAAGGGUAUGGCUGUUCGCCAUUUAAAGUGGUACGCGAGCUGGGUUUAGAACGUCGUGAGACAGUUCGGUCCCUAUCUGCCGUGGACGUUUGAGAUUUGAGAGGGGCUGCUCCUAGUACGAGAGGACCGGAGUGGACGAACCUCUGGUGUUCCGGUUGUCACGCCAGUGGCAUUGCCGGGUAGCUAUGCUCGGAAAAGAUAACCGCUGAAAGCAUCUAAGCGGGAAACUUGCCUCAAGAUGGGAUCUCACUGGGAACUUGAUUCCCCUGAAGGGCCGUCGAAGACUACGACGUUGAUAGGCUGGGUGUGUAAGCGUUGUGAGGCGUUGAGCUAACCAGAACUAAUUGCCCGUGAGGCUUGAUC